CAAUAGCGUAUAUUAAAGUUGUUGCGGUUAAAAAGCUCGUAGUUGGAGUUCUGCCAGGUGCCGCCUGUCCGCCCCAGUGGUGAGUACGUGGCGCGCAUUUGGCCCUUUCAAGGGGAGCGUAUCUGCACUUUAUUGUGUGGUGCGGGAUCCUUGACUUUUACUUUGAGGAAAUAGGAGUGUUCCAAGCAGGCUCUCGUCGUGCACAGCUCAGCAUGGAAUAAUAGCAUUGGACCUCGAUUCUAAGCUGUUGGUUGCCAGAAGCGAGGUAAUGAUGAAGAGGGAUAGUUGGGGGCAUUCGUAUUUAACUGUCAGAGGUGAAAGUCUUGGAUUUGUUAAAGACGGACUACUGCGAAAGCAUCUGCCAUGGAUGUUUUCAUUGA
RNAcentral lists this ribosomal RNA (380 nucleotides) under uncultured eukaryote. Its description in RNAcentral is "partial 18S ribosomal RNA". It matches the Rfam family "Eukaryotic small subunit ribosomal RNA", at positions 592 to 976 of the family's 1831-position model. The record is from RNAcentral.